RNAcentral lists this ribosomal RNA (620 nucleotides) under Ammonia sp. genotype T1. RNAcentral describes it as "partial large subunit ribosomal RNA". It matches the Rfam family "Eukaryotic large subunit ribosomal RNA", at positions 43 to 400 of the family's 3401-position model. Lineage: Eukaryota; Foraminifera; Rotaliida; Rotaliidae. The record is from RNAcentral.
UCAGUCAGCGCAGCGUAAUAAUAGAAACUAACCAGGAUUCCCUUAGUAACGGCGAGUGAACUGGGAUACCCAAUAUAUACCAUCUGUGCGUACCUCGGUGCGUACAAAUUUUAGCCCGUCGAUACUAUCCUAGCAUAGUACUGGCUUCGGCCGGUAACCUAUCUAUGCGGGAAUUGUAGCAUCGUACAAAAAUAUAUUAUACAACGUAUAUAUACGCAACCCACACUUAUAUAUAUUUUUAUGCGUACACUUACUUUCAUAAACACACAGCGCUCCCGCGUUGGAAAGCAAGUCUAUAUCCUUUUUGGAUAUGCCAUAGAGUGUGACGGCCACGUUUCAACUCUCUACGUAUACGCAUGCGUUAUAUACAUACACUGUAUUUUAUAUAUAACCUGAGUCGAGUUAUUUGGGACUAUAGCUCUAAUAGUUUGGUUGGUGGUAAUGACACAUCAAAGGCUAAAUAUUGGUUAGUCGAUGCGUAUACUCGGAGACCGAUAGCAUACAAGUACCGUAAGGGAACGAUGAAAAGCACCCUAUUGAGUUCACGGGCUCAGACUGUCUCGCAAUUUAUUGCACGACGUCUUGCGCCCAACAACUACAGUGGGAGUGAAAGAGAGAGU